GACGAACGCUGGCGGCGUGCUUAACACAUGCGAGUCGAACGGUGAAGCGCCUUCCUUUUUGGUGGGUGUGGAUGAGUGGCGAACGGGUGAGUAACACGUGAGUAACCUGCCCCCUUCUUCUGGAUAACCGCAUGAAAGUGUGGCUAAUACGGGAUAUUCUGGGUCUGUCGCAUGAUGGGUCUGGGAAAGAUAUUGUUUCGGUGGGGGAUGGGCUCGCGGCCUAUCAGCUUGUUGGUGGGGUGAUGGCCUACCAAGGCGGUGACGGGUAGCCGGCCUGAGAGGGUGGACGGUCACACUGGGACUGAGACACGGCCCAGACUCCUACGGGAGGCAGCAGUGGGGAAUAUGGCACAAUGGGCGCAAGCCUGAUGCAGCGACGCCGCGUGAGGGAUGGAGGCCUGCGGGUUGUGAACCUCUUUCGCCAGUGAAGCAGGCCUGCCUCGUUUGUGGGUGGGUUGACGGUAGCUGGAUAAGAAGCGCCGGCUAACUACGUG
This 494-nucleotide ribosomal RNA is filed under the name uncultured bacterium. RNAcentral describes it as "partial 16S ribosomal RNA". It matches the Rfam family "Bacterial small subunit ribosomal RNA", at positions 28 to 507 of the family's 1533-position model. The record is from RNAcentral.